RNAcentral lists this ribosomal RNA (504 nucleotides) under uncultured Bacteroidales bacterium. Its description in RNAcentral is "bacterial SSU rRNA". It matches the Rfam family "Bacterial small subunit ribosomal RNA", at positions 20 to 507 of the family's 1533-position model. Lineage: Bacteria; Pseudomonadati; Bacteroidota; Bacteroidia; Bacteroidales. The record is from RNAcentral.
UGGCUCAGGAUGAACGCUAGCGACAGGCUUAACACAUGGCAAGUCGAGGGGCAGCGGGGAUGAAGCUUGCUUCAUCCGCCGGCGACCGGCGCACGGGUGAGUAACACGUAUGCAACCUGCCCCUGGCUGGGGGAUAAGCCGGAGAAAUCCGGUCUAAUACCGCGUAACAUCCUUACGGGACAUCCCGUUAGGAUCAAAGGAAGCGAUUCCGGCCAGGGAUGGGCAUGCGGCGCAUUAGCUAGUCGGCGGGGUAGCGGCCCACCGAGGCGACGAUGCGUAGGGGUUCUGAGAGGAAGGUCCCCCACACUGGUACUGAGACACGGACCAGACUCCUACGGGAGGCAGCAGUGAGGAAUAUUGGUCAAUGGGCGCGAGCUUGAACCAGCCAAGUCGCGUGAGGGAAGACGGUCCUAUGGAUUGUAAACCUCUUUUGCCGGGGAGCAAGCUGAGUCACGUGUGGCUCAGCUGAGAGUACCCGGAGAAAAAGCAUCGGCUAACUCCGUG